RNAcentral lists this ribosomal RNA (303 nucleotides) under uncultured bacterium. RNAcentral describes it as "partial 16S ribosomal RNA". It matches the Rfam family "Bacterial small subunit ribosomal RNA", at positions 507 to 809 of the family's 1533-position model. The record is from RNAcentral.
AGCAGUCGCCGCGGUAAUACGAAGGGUGCAAGCGUUACUCGGAAUUACUGGGCGUAAAGCGUGCGUAGGUGGUGGUUUAAGUCCGUUGUGAAAGCCCUGGGCUCAACCUGGGAAUUGCAGUGGAUACUGGAUCACUAGAGUGUGGUAGAGGAUAGUGGAAUUUCCGGUGUAGCAGUGAAAUGCGUAGAGAUCGGAAGGAACAUCUGUGGCGAAGGCGACUAUCUGGGCCAACACUGACACUGAGGCACGAAAGCGUGGGGAGCAAACAGGAUUAGAUACCCGUGUAGUCCCUGUCUCUUAUAA